RNAcentral lists this transfer RNA (84 nucleotides) under Candidatus Andersenbacteria bacterium CG10_big_fil_rev_8_21_14_0_10_54_11. RNAcentral describes it as "tRNA-Leu". It matches the Rfam family "tRNA". Rfam says of the family: Transfer RNA (tRNA) molecules are approximately 80 nucleotides in length. Lineage: Bacteria; Candidatus Anderseniibacteriota. The record is from RNAcentral.
GCCGGGGUGGCGGAAUUGGCAGACGCGCUGGCUUUAGGAGCCAGUGUCCGCGAGGACAUGCAGGUUCGAUUCCUGUCCCCGGCA